RNAcentral lists this ribosomal RNA (373 nucleotides) under Lactococcus lactis. Its description in RNAcentral is "bacterial SSU rRNA". It matches the Rfam family "Bacterial small subunit ribosomal RNA", at positions 28 to 392 of the family's 1533-position model. The record is from RNAcentral. Lineage: Bacteria; Bacillati; Bacillota; Bacilli; Lactobacillales; Streptococcaceae.
GACGAACGCUGGCGGCGUGCCUAAUACAUGCAAGUUGAGCGCUGAAGGUUGGUACUUGUACCAACUGGAUGAGCAGCGAACGGGUGAGUAACGCGUGGGGAAUCUGCCUUUGAGCGGGGGACAACAUUUGGAAACGAAUGCUAAUACCGCAUAAAAACUUUAAACACAAGUUUUAAGUUUGAAAGAUGCAAUUGCAUCACUCAAAGAUGAUCCCGCGUUGUAUUAGCUAGUUGGUGAGGUAAAGGCUCACCAAGGCGAUGAUACAUAGCCGACCUGAGAGGGUGAUCGGCCACAUUGGGACUGAGACACGGCCCAAACUCCUACGGGAGGCAGCAGUAGGGAAUCUUCGGCAAUGGACGAAAGUCUGCCGAGC